Molecule: ribosomal RNA, 497 nt
Filed under: uncultured bacterium
Lineage: Bacteria
Description: partial 16S ribosomal RNA
Rfam family: Bacterial small subunit ribosomal RNA
Source: RNAcentral
GAUGAACGCUGGCGGCGUGCCUAAUACAUGCAGGUCGAGCGAACGGACGAGAAGCUUGCUUUUCUGAUGUUAGCGGCGGACGGGCGAGUAACACGUGGAUAACCUACCUAUAAGACUGGGAUAACUUCGGGAAACCGGAGCUAAUACCGGAUAAUAUUUUGAACCGCAUGGUUCAAAAGUGAAAGACGGUCUUGCUGUCACUUAUAGAUGGAUCCGCGCUGCAUUAGCUAGUUGGUAAGGUAACGGCUUACCAAGGCAACGAUGCAUAGCCGACCUGAGAGGGUGAUCGGCCACACUGGAACUGAGACACGGUCCAGACUCCUACGGGAGGCAGCAGUAGGGAAUCUUCCGCAAUGGGCGAAAGCCUGACGGAGCAACGCCGCGUGAGUGAUGAAGGUCUUCGGAUCGUAAAACUCUGUUAUUAGGGAAGAACAUAUGUGUAAGUAACUGUGCACAUCUUGACGGUACCUAAUCAGAAAGCCACGGCUAACUACGUG